RNAcentral lists this long non-coding RNA (1863 nucleotides) under Gallus gallus (chicken). RNAcentral describes it as "lncRNA (ENSGALG00010003709.1)". Lineage: Eukaryota; Metazoa; Chordata; Aves; Galliformes; Phasianidae. The record is from RNAcentral.
UACCUCAGUGCUUUGCUGCUUUUAGCACUCUUGGGACAUGGGGAAAUAAUGUUGAGGCUGCACCUCAGUGCUCAGCUCAACAUGGGGGCCCCUCACUGCUGCUCACCCUUAGGUGGAAGUGUAAGGACUGGGUCAGUGCUGAGAAGGUAGGAGCCAUGCAGCAGAGCUUACUUGUUGCAAGGUUGUGUGAAGGCUGGAGGGGACAAUGGGGGCAGUAUGGUGAUCUCCUGGAGGUGCUUUCACUCCUUUGCACUAGGUCAAUUCAAUGUACUCAAAUAGGCACCCACUGCCCCAUACCUGUAACGGCUUUAACCUCUCAGUGCAUCUCUUCAAGAGGAGUUUGCUCAGCUUCCAUGCAAUGAAGGCAGAAAGACACCUCCAAAUUAGGAAGUAUGUCUGCUACUGAACCUGAUGGAAUACAUGCCUGAUACCCAGAGGAGACGUCAUUCUUCAAUGUUUGCCCCAGGUUGCCCAGCAAGUCAGUGGCAGAACAUGGAUUUCAACCUACAUCUCCCAUAGUCUGUGCCAGGGCUUUUGCAGUUUCAGUUCUUUCAGCUCCUGUAGUCUGCUGUUGGCAUGCAAACUUGAGCUUGCCUGGUUACAAUUCCUCACAUUGUUUGCAGUGUCUUGGCCAAAGAAAAUGAAAGCAGUCUUUUCAUGAUUCCAAUGCAAAACCAUAGGCUGGUUGGGGGAGGUGGGAAAGGCAUCGCUGCACAGGCUGACUUUUUAGCCUUAAAAAGAGGAAUAUAAGAGAUGCCACAAGUGGUCAAAAGAAAGAAAAUAAGGAAUACUUUGUUACUCUCAGAAUGCACAUACUAGAGGGUAAUUAAUUAAAUUGUCCAGUGGAAAACUCCAAACAUAGAAUCAUAGAAUUUCUUAGGUUGGAAAAGACCUUAAAGAUCAUCAAGUCCAACCAAGUCCAACGUGUUGAAGAUGUUUCCUUCCAUGUUGUCAGUUGGUGAAGCCCACUGCCACAAGAUGUUUUUACACUGAAAUUUUACACGUGCUCAGGAAAGUAAACAGAAAAGGUUAAGAAAGAAAAAUACAGUAGAGCAAAUUAACAUGACAAUGCCAUUUCUAGCUCAAGAAAACCAUGCACUACAAACUACUGGGGGAAUAGACACUGGAAGCAUCAAUAUCUGCCUGGAUUCUCUCCUGGUCUUGAAACACUGGAUUAGAAAUAACUGCUGUUGGUGUCUUAAAGGCUGAGUUAACAAAGGGCCCAUGGUACCCACACUGCAAAAUGAAAGACCCAGGUGCAGCACCAGCCUUUACACAGCAUGCAAUAUGAAUAACUCUAAAAAUCCUACUAGGCUGAGCUGACUUUGCCUUGGAGAGAUGAUUUGGCUUUAAGUACUUUUUCUGGCAGAGUCUAAGAGAAGUGGGUGCUGCAAAGAUAUCUUUAAACCAGCCGCCUCCACCAUGUCCCUCAAAAAGGAAAAUAAUCCCUCCUGUGCACAAAUCACCAUGGGAGGAAUCCCUGAAGUCUUCACACCCAUCCAGCAGAGAGCACUGAAUUCAUUGUUCCCUUUUUUCGAGGCAUUCCCAUCAGUUGGGUAACUCAGGUAACGAGUUUGCCAUCUGAUGGUUUCUCAGUGUAUUAUUUCACAGUGCACUUAGCCUCAGUGGUUCUGAAUGAGCUGAUUUAUUACUUUUAUCUAAGUUUUGGUCCCUGUUAUCUGUCAUAUCAUUCAGCUCCUUGAUAGGGGUUUUAAGAAAAAGAUUGAGAAAUCAGUUACAACUUGCAAAGGUCUGAAUCUUGUCUGGAAUGGAUGAAGAGCAUGCAUAUGUGUGCAUAUUGCUAUGUGUUGAUUAUGAUGUUGCUGGGGUGAGCUGGUACAAAAUCAGAAUUGGGAACGGAGC